ACUCCUACGGGAGGCAGCAGUGGGGAAUAUUGCACAAUGGGCGCAAGCCUGAUGCAGCCAUGCCGCGUGUAUGAAGAAGGCCUUCGGGUUGUAAAGUACUUUCAGCAGUGAGGAAGGUGGGUAUGUUAAUAGCAUAUUCAUUUGACGUUAGCUGCAGAAGAAGCACCGGCUAACUCCGUGCCAGCAGCCGCGGUAAUACGGAGGGUGCGAGCGUUAAUCGGAAUUACUGGGCGUAAAGCGCAUGCAGGUGGUUUGUUAAGUCAGAUGUGAAAGCCCGGGGCUCAACCUCGGAAUUGCAUUUGAAACUGGCAAACUAGAGUACUGUAGAGGGGGGUAGAAUUUCAGGUGUAGCGGUGAAAUGCGUAGAGAUCUGAAGGAAUACCGGUGGCGAAGGCGGCCCCCUGGACAGAUACUGACACUCAGAUAGCGAAAGCGUGGGGAGCAAACAGGAUUAGAUACCCUGGUAGGCUCAGC
RNAcentral lists this ribosomal RNA (474 nucleotides) under uncultured bacterium. RNAcentral describes it as "bacterial SSU rRNA". It matches the Rfam family "Bacterial small subunit ribosomal RNA", at positions 335 to 800 of the family's 1533-position model. The record is from RNAcentral.